ACAAACACAUGUUAGCAAUGCCUCUGUACACCACCACAGUGAAUUUCAAAUCUAAUAUAUGACUGAAGUGCAGACGUUUGAUUUAAAUUGAGUGGAUUCAAUAAAGUAUUCUGUUAACUAUAAGUAUUAAUAAUUAUUCUAUCAACUGCCUAUUAACUUACAGCCAUUUUUAUACAUAGUGAUGCUAUUUAUAAUCACUGAUGGAUGGUUUAAUGUUGCUACAAGUGUAAUUUUUCUCUUUGCAAUUAUUUUCUUACAGUUAUGGAUAAAGUUAAGAAAUUUGAGCAACUAGCAGACUUGGACAAAAAAAGAGAAAAAAAGUAGUGUCUGCUCCUGAAAAUGGGCCUCUCCAUUUGCUGCAGAGCCGCUUUCAACUUUGACCCCAGCCAAGGAGGGCAUCUAACAAUGAUGCUGGGGAACAUGUGGAUGACUCCAACU
Long non-coding RNA from Haplochromis burtoni (Burton's mouthbrooder), 438 nucleotides. RefSeq lists it as uncharacterized. The transcript has 2 exons. NCBI's taxonomy places the organism in Eukaryota, Metazoa, Chordata, Actinopteri, Cichliformes, Cichlidae. The record is from RefSeq and is a predicted model, not a curated record.